CCUACGUGCGGCAGCAGUGGGGAAUAUUGGGCAAUGGGCGCAAGCCUGACCCAGCCACGCCGCGUGAAGGAAGAAGGCUUUCGGGUUGUACACUUCUUUUAAGAGGGAAGAGCAGAAGACGGUAUCUCUUGCAUAAGCUACGGCUAACUACGUGCCAGCAGCCGGGGUAAUACGUAGGGAGCGAGCGUUGUCCGGAUUUACUGGGUGUAACGGGCGUGCAGGCGGGAGUACAAGUCAGAUGUGAAAGCCCGCGGCUCAACCGCGGAACUGCAUUUGAAACUGUAUUUCUUGAGUACUGGAGAGGCAGACGGAAUUCCUAGUGUAGCGGUGAAAUGCGUAGAUAGUAGGAGGAACACCAGUGGCGAAGGCGGUCUGCUGGACAGCAACUGACGGUGAGGCGCGAAAGCGUGGGGAGCAAACAGGAUUAGAUACCCCUGUAGUC
RNAcentral lists this ribosomal RNA (442 nucleotides) under uncultured bacterium. RNAcentral describes it as "partial 16S ribosomal RNA". It matches the Rfam family "Bacterial small subunit ribosomal RNA", at positions 338 to 795 of the family's 1533-position model. The record is from RNAcentral.